This 539-nucleotide ribosomal RNA is filed under the name uncultured Ferruginibacter sp. RNAcentral describes it as "bacterial SSU rRNA". It matches the Rfam family "Bacterial small subunit ribosomal RNA", at positions 96 to 633 of the family's 1533-position model. The record is from RNAcentral. Lineage: Bacteria; Pseudomonadati; Bacteroidota; Chitinophagia; Chitinophagales; Chitinophagaceae.
CGGCAAACGGGUGCGGAACACGUACGCAACCUUCCCAAAAUUGGUGAAUAGCCUUCCGAAAGGGAGAUUAAUACACCGUAACAUAAUGAAGUGGCAUCACUUUAUUAUUAUAGCUCCGGCGAUUUUGGAUGGGCGUGCGCCUGAUUAGGUAGUUGGCGGGGUAACGGCCCACCAAGCCUUCGAUCAGUAACUGGUGUGAGAGCACGACCAGUCACACGGGCACUGAGACACGGGCCCGACUCCUACGGGAGGCAGCAGUAAGGAAUAUUGGUCAAUGGACGCAAGUCUGAACCAGCCAUGCCGCGUGAAGGAUGAAGGCCCUCUGGGUUGUAAACUUCUUUUAUCUGGGACGAAAAACGGGCUUUUUAGCUCACUUGACGGUACCAGAGGAAUAAGCACCGGCUAACUCCGUGCCAGCAGCCGCGGUAAUACGGAGGGUGCAAGCGUUAUCCGGAUUUACUGGGUUUAAAGGGUGCGUAGGUGGGUAAGUAAGUCAGUGGUGAAAUCUCCGAGCUUAACUCGGAAACUGCCAUUGAUAC